AGAGUUUGAUCCUGGCUCAGAUUGAACGCUGGCGGCAGGCCUAACACAUGCAAGUCGAGCGGUAGAGAGAAGCUUGCUUCUCUUGAGAGCGGCGGACGGGUGAGUAAUGCCUAGGAAUCUGCCUGGUAGUGGGGGAUAACGUUCGGAAACGGACGCUAAUACCGCAUACGUCCUACGGGAGAAAGCAGGGGACCUUCGGGCCUUGCGCUAUCAGAUGAGCCUAGGUCGGAUUAGCUAGUUGGUGAGGUAAUGGCUCACCAAGGCGACGAUCCGUAACUGGUCUGAGAGGAUGAUCAGUCACACUGGAACUGAGACACGGUCCAGACUCCUACGGGAGGCAGCAGUGGGGAAUAUUGGACAAUGGGCGAAAGCCUGAUCCAGCCAUGCCGCGUGUGUGAAGAAGGUCUUCGGAUUGUAAAGCACUUUAAGUUGGGAGGAAGGGCAUUAACCUAAUACGUUAGUGUUUUGACGUUACCGACAGAAUAAGCACCGGCUAACUCUGUGCCAGCAGCCGCGGUAAUACAGAGGGUGCAAGCGUUAAUCGGAAUUACUGGGCGUAAAGCGCGCGUAGGUGGUUCGUUAAGUUGGAUGUGAAAUCCCCGGGCUCAACCUGGGAACUGCAUUCAAAACUGUCGAGCUAGAGUAUGGUAGAGGGNGGNGGAAUUUCCUGUGUAGCGGNGAAAUGCGUAGAUAUAGGAAG
This 700-nucleotide ribosomal RNA is filed under the name uncultured Pseudomonas sp. RNAcentral describes it as "bacterial SSU rRNA". It matches the Rfam family "Bacterial small subunit ribosomal RNA", at positions 8 to 703 of the family's 1533-position model. Lineage: Bacteria; Pseudomonadati; Pseudomonadota; Gammaproteobacteria; Pseudomonadales; Pseudomonadaceae. The record is from RNAcentral.